ACAUCCAGCGAACUUGGCAGAGAUGCCCUUGGUGGCCUUCGGGAACGCUGAGACAGGUGCUGCAUGGCUGUCGUCAGCUCGUGUUGUGAAAUGUUGGGUUAAGUCCCGCAACGAGCGCAACCCUUAUCCUUUGUUGCCAGCGAUUCGGUCGGGAACUCAAAGGAGACUGCCGGUGAUAAACCGGAGGAAGGUGGGGAUGACGUCAAGUCAUCAUGGCCCUUACGAGUAGGGCUACACACGUGCUACAAUGGCGCAUACAAAGAGAAGCGACCUCGCGAGAGCAAGCGGACCUCAUAAAGUGCGUCGUAGUCCGGAUCGGAGUCUGCAACUCGACUCCGUGAAGUCGGAAUCGCUAGUAAUCGUGGAUCAGAAUGCCACGGUGAAUACGUUCCCGGGCCUUGUACACACCGCCCGUCACACCAUGGGAGUGGGUUGCAAAAGAAGUAGGUAGCUUAACCUUCGGGAGGGCGCUUACCACUUUGUGAUUCAUGACUGGGGUGAAGUCGUAACAAGGUAGGCGUAGCGAG
This 527-nucleotide ribosomal RNA is filed under the name uncultured bacterium. RNAcentral describes it as "bacterial SSU rRNA". It matches the Rfam family "Bacterial small subunit ribosomal RNA", at positions 984 to 1509 of the family's 1533-position model. The record is from RNAcentral.